Molecule: ribosomal RNA, 730 nt
Filed under: uncultured bacterium
Lineage: Bacteria
Description: bacterial SSU rRNA
Rfam family: Bacterial small subunit ribosomal RNA
Source: RNAcentral
AACAGGAUUAGAUACCCUGGUAGUCCACGCCGUAAACGAUGUCGACUUGGAGGUUGUGCCCUUGAGGCGUGGCUUCCGGAGCUAACGCGUUAAGUCGACCGCCUGGGGAGUACGGCCGCAAGGUUAAAACUCAAAUGAAUUGACGGGGGCCCGCACAAGCGGUGGAGCAUGUGGUUUAAUUCGAUGCAACGCGAAGAACCUUACCUACUCUUGACAUCCAGAGAACUUAGCAGAGAUGCUUUGGUGCCUUCGGGAACUCUGAGACAGGUGCUGCAUGGCUGUCGUCAGCUCGUGUUGUGAAAUGUUGGGUUAAGUCCCGCAACGAGCGCAACCCUUAUCCUUUGUUGCCAGCGGUUAGGCCGGGAACUCAAAGGAGACUGCCAGUGAUAAACUGGAGGAAGGUGGGGAUGACGUCAAGUCAUCAUGGCCCUUACGAGUAGGGCUACACACGUGCUACAAUGGCAUAUACAAAGAGGAGCGACCUCGCGAGAGCAAGCGGACCUCAUAAAGUAUGUCGUAGUCCGGAUUGGAGUCUGCAACUCGGCUCCAUGAAGUCGGAAUCGCUAGUAAUCGUGGAUCAGAAUGCCACGGUGAAUACGUUCCCGGGCCUUGUACACACCGCCCGUCACACCAUGGGAGUGGGUUGCAAAAGAAGUAGGUAGCUUAACCUUCGGGAGGGCGCUUACCACUUUGUGAUUCAUGACUGGGGUGAAGUCGUAACAAGGUAACC